RNAcentral lists this ribosomal RNA (465 nucleotides) under uncultured bacterium. RNAcentral describes it as "partial 16S ribosomal RNA". It matches the Rfam family "Bacterial small subunit ribosomal RNA", at positions 338 to 795 of the family's 1533-position model. The record is from RNAcentral.
CCUACGGGUGGCAGCAGUGGGGAAUAUUGCGCAAUGGGCGAAAGCCUGACGCAGCGACGCCGCGUGAGGGAUGAAGGUCUUCGGAUCGUUAACCUCCGUUAGCAGGGAAGUACGGUCACUGUGCUAAUCAGCAGUGAAUUGACGGUACCUGCAAAGGAAGCAUCGGCUAACUCCGUGCCAGCAGCCGCGGUAAUACGGAGGGUGCGAGCGUUAAUUGGAAUUACUGGGCGUAAAGCGCUCGUAGGCGGUAUGUCAAGUCAAGGGUGAAAUCCCCGCGCUCAACGUGGGAACUGCCUUUGAUACUGGCAAACUGGAGUGUGUGAGAGGUAAGUGGAAUUCCAGGUGUAGGAGUGAAAUCCGUAGAUAUCUGGAGGAACAUCAGUGGCGAAGGCGACUAUCUGGCACAUAACUGACGCUGAGGAGCGAAAGCGUGGGUAGCAAACAGGAUUAGAUACCCUUGUAGUC